RNAcentral lists this small RNA (29 nucleotides) under Bombyx mori (domestic silkworm). RNAcentral's name for it is "ovarian small RNA-9482". The record is from RNAcentral. Lineage: Eukaryota; Metazoa; Arthropoda; Insecta; Lepidoptera; Bombycidae.
UUCAAAUGCACUAAAACUGUUUUGUGGUC